Gavia stellata (red-throated loon) is the source of this 853-nucleotide long non-coding RNA. RefSeq lists it as uncharacterized. The transcript is spliced from 3 exons. Lineage: Eukaryota; Metazoa; Chordata; Aves; Gaviiformes; Gaviidae. The record is from RefSeq and is a predicted model, not a curated record.
GGAGCUGUGGCUGUGUGAAGUUGUCUCCGGACACUGGACAAGGCUUUCACCUGGUCGUGCAUAAAAGCCUUGAGGCAUCAGAUGGUCUCCUGCCUGCCCUGUGUACCAUAUAAACUGUGAGGAAGCAAAUCAGUAAGCUGCCAAACUUUUGGAAGAAGACACCUCCCCUGUCUCCUCCAGAGCUCUCCGACUAGGCUAUGAUGAGAACUUCAGCACCAACAGUCACAGUGAGAUUCCACCUCAAUUGGCUCUUACCUCCAGAAGACAGCAGAAAAGGUUGUUGAUGCAGGAAACCACCAGACUCAAUUCCAAUGCAGCCAAGAUUCACACUGCGAUCAGUUGCCCCCCCUACUCACAGGAAUCCCUCAGCUCAGUCUCCAGCACACACAGCCCCAUCUCCAUCUCAGAAGAGAUCUUUAAGCCCCCAAACAAACCACUGCCUCAUCCCCACAUGAGCGACCUGCCCUGAUCCUCGUUCCUUUUCCCUCCCUCCCUGGCUGUACCACACUGAACCGGUAUUUCUUUCCCUCCUCACAUAACCAUAUCCAAACACAGUAAUAAUCCUGCAUAGGAAAACCGUCUGCAGUGCCCAGGGACUGCUCUUCCCCAGUUGCAGCACAGUGCACCACAGUGUCAUGGUGUCAUCACUGAUGUAGUGCUGCACACUAUACAACAAUCAGCAGAAAGCACAGGAGGUCCACCUUUCUCCAGGAGCGGUCCGGGUCCUGGAAAGGCUGGAGCCGCAUCAAGCAGGCUGGGACAUAUUCAAGCACGUCACUGAGACCAACAGGCAGCAGCAAGAGCUGCAGAGGCAGCCGCCCUGGAGGAGGACCCAGAGAGAGCAGUGCGUCCA